GAAUGUUCAAGCAACCCCUGUUCAAAUAGUGGAGUGUGCAAUGAUGCAGUCAAUAGCUAUUACUGCGCAUGCGUGGCCGGUUAUGCAGGAGCUCAUUGUGAAACAGACACGAACGAAUGUUCAAGCAACCCCUGUUCAAAUAGUGGAGUGUGCAAUGAUGCAGUCAAUGGCUAUUCCUGUGCAUGCAUAGCCGGUUAUGAAGGAACACAUUGUGAAACAGCACUUGCGAGAUAAAUUAUACUUCUACAGUUUCAGCUUGUUCCCAAUACGGAUCCCAUUUGGUCUUCAUCGAGUCGCAAGAGGAACAGGACUUCAUCGUAGGGGGUGCCAGUGAUAACUACUGGAUCAGGCUCACCGGUCGCAGCUACAGAAAGGCAAGGUGGCAAGACGGAUCAAGUUUUACAUAUACAAACUUAAACCAUUUUUCGUUUAAUGAGAAUGCAAACUUUUUUCAAAUUUGAUAUCAUAUUCAAUCUGGUGCGCCAGAGACGUAUCCAUAUAGUUGGUAAGAUAAUGAUCGAUCCAGACAAUUAGGAUUCAUAUGAAAAAAAAAGUAGUGAUAUAAAGAUUGGAUUUGUUUCUUUCAAUUGUUCAUACUAUCUGGUUGCGCCGCUUGGUGCAUUUGAACCCCUAGAUGGGGGCAAGGGAAUCCCCCUCAAAAGAGUAUAUAAUUAGGUUUUCUUUCUUUAGUCAUUGUUUUCGUAAAGGUCUAUCGGAACCGUAGGAAUGCUCAAUUCUGUGGUCUUUUGUCGUUCCAUGCACUUAUUUUCACAUGCAAAGCAUUCAAAAGAAUGUAGAAAAGAUGUUAAUUUAUAAUCUCUAAACUACGGAGCACUCUUCAUCUUCACAUUCAAGCAUUUCAAGAAUAAUCAUAUUA
This is a long non-coding RNA of Strongylocentrotus purpuratus (purple sea urchin), 877 nucleotides long. RefSeq lists it as uncharacterized. The record is from RefSeq and is a predicted model, not a curated record. The transcript is spliced from 3 exons. Lineage: Eukaryota; Metazoa; Echinodermata; Echinoidea; Camarodonta; Strongylocentrotidae.